CCUACGGGUGGCAGCAGUGAGGAAUAUUGGUCAAUGGACGAGAGUCUGAACCAGCCAAGUAGCGUGAAGGAUGACUGCCCUAUAGGUUGUAAACUUCUUUUAUAUGGGAAUAAAACAGGGUAUGCAUACCCUCUUGUAUGUACCAUAUGAAUAAGGAUCGGCUAACUCCGUGCCAGCAGCCGCGGUACUACGGAGGAUCCGCGCGUUCUCCGGAUUUAUUGGGGUUAAAGGGAGCGUAGGUGGAUUGUUAAGUCAGGUGUGAAAGUUCGCGGCUCAACCGUAAAAUUGCAGUUGAAACUGGCAGUCUUGAGUAGAGGAGAGGUAGGCGGAAUGCGUGGUGUAGCGGUGAAAUGCUUAGAUAUCACGAAGAACUCCGAUUGCGAAGGCAGCUCACUGGACUGCAACUGACACUGAGGCACGAAAGUGUGGGUAUCAAACAGGAUUAGAUACCCUUGUAGUC
This 460-nucleotide ribosomal RNA is filed under the name uncultured bacterium. Its description in RNAcentral is "partial 16S ribosomal RNA". It matches the Rfam family "Bacterial small subunit ribosomal RNA", at positions 338 to 795 of the family's 1533-position model. The record is from RNAcentral.